UUCUAUGGGUUUUACUACUUUAUUCGAGCUAGAAAAGCCUCUUUAGCCCUAAAAUUCAAAGUGAUUUUUCUCAUCUCUCAAUGAUGCCUUCUCAGCUAAGCCAACUUCCCUCCCCAAGAGAAAGCCCAAACCAUUCUACAUAGCCACUCUAUCUGGAAGUUCUUACAAACUGCACGAAUAGGAAAUACGCAAUGCAGACAUGACCGGGAAUGGUACGGACCCGAAAAGCCUUACAAAGCGCUCCCAUGAUAAAUCCCUGGUAAUUUUUUUUAGGGCCGAGGGGGAGCGCAAGUGGAGACCGGCCAUCCUUUGUCCAACUGAAACUUAUUUUAUUUUCAUUCUCAGUUUUUUGGCUGCCCCUCAACGGGCUCGCUCAAACAACAAAGUCAACAAGGAAAACUAGGAAAAGCUGCCGAGAAGGAGAAGUAAAAUCUCUUGCAAUUAGCGCUGGGAAAAGUUCUCGGCUCUAAUUGAUUUGCUGUAAACCGUUUGACGCUUUGGUCGUCGUCCUGCUUUGCGAUGCCUGCAAGCUCAACUUUAAAAUUUAAUGCCCUCCCAUCCCAUGGCGUCCUUCGUCCUGAUGCACUAAACUAUGCAACACAAUUGUUAUUGAACACGUGCACGCGCCCUCUGCAGCCAUGUGGAGCAGAAGAAGGAGCAGCCCCAGCACCAGCACCAGCAGCAGGAGAGCAUUCGAAGAGAAGGGAAAGAGCGGAGUAGAGCGCAGAGCCAUCGUCAAAAGCAAAACAAAGAGGUUUUUUCCCAGCACAACUCGGGUGCUUAAAAAUGCUAACAAGUUGGGGAAAAAAUGUGUGGGAAAAAGGUGCCAGAGGGUUGACAGCUGGGUUCAGCAAAAGGAUUAAUGAUUGGGAACAAGACACGAAGCCCAACGGCGCAACCGAAUAAAGAAGAUCUGUCCCAUGGCAGAGAUUAGAAGAGAUCAAAAACCGGACAUCAUUUUACAGUUCAGUUACAGCUCAGAGCUGUGCCGGAAUAUGGCGUAGAAUAUUAUUUCGAAUUCAAAAGAAGACUUAGGAGCAUAGGUAAUCCGAAUAAGUCUCUCUGCCCAUCGAUUCCACAAAUGUAUUGAACCACCCACGGGGGCAGCACUGCCAUACCCAAGUGCAACAAAAUGCACGGAGGCAUUGCGGCAGCAGAAGAGACGAGUAACAGCUUUGCCAAAUGGUUGGAGGUAGGGACUAUUUGAAAAAUUCAAAGCAAACAAAAACGACAACUGGUGGAGCUUUGCACUUGCCUCCCCCGAGUCGCGCCACCCGCCUAAAAAAUCACACAAAAGUUAUCGCUAGCGUACAUGCAAGCGAGACAAUAACUCGAACACGCUUCGAUCGGGCAGGUGAGAAGUUGUCGAAUGCAUUCGCAACCCCUUUUAAAGUUUUCCCAACUGAACAAAUACAGAGAGCCGACGAUAAAGCCUAGCAGCAGCAGCAGAAGACAAACACGUAAGCUGUGAGGGAAGUCCACUCCGCACCACAAAAAAAGAAGAAAGAACAGGAAAGAAAAUCCAUCAAAAAAUUAGCCACUGCCUGAGGCCGUGUCCUGGCGAGAGCACUUGAGUUGAAAACCCAUUUUAGCCCCGCUGCCUUUGCCGCUCUUGACGCGGCGUCACUUUUGACGCCUCCGCACCGCAAAGCCGCCACAGGCUGG
Molecule: long non-coding RNA, 1665 nt
Organism: Drosophila guanche
Lineage: Eukaryota; Metazoa; Arthropoda; Insecta; Diptera; Drosophilidae
Exons: 2
Source: RefSeq, a predicted model, not a curated record